CUCAAAUUCUGGAGUGGAAAAAUGCAAUUUUUCCAAAUUAAUUAAUUGUAUGAUGAAGGAAAAAAACAAGUACUACAAUUAAUCUGACUUGGUCAAACAUGUACUCAGCUGUGCGCCCAAACAUUUUUAUUUCUUGGAAAUUGGUUAGUCCAAAGUCCAAGUCCAAUAUACGUACCUGCAUACAUAAUGCUUUGUUUUCCCUUUGAAAUUAAUUCAAUCCCAGCUGCCUGAAGGACUUGCUUCCUCUUGUUAAGACCAAGGAUGAUAGAUACAUAGCACACAAACAGGUCACUAACAAACUUUCCAAACUCCAAAGAAUCAAUUGAUUGAUCAUUGGUGGCUUGCUGCUUGCGGCUGCGGGUAACUGGUACUCUUGAGCAAGGAGAGGUAACCGCCUUGCAGGUUCUUCACGUUCGCGAACCCCUGCAACGAAAACCAAAACGAAUUCACAUCUCAAUCAAAGAUGGUGAUCUUACUAAGAACAGUAAAAAAAAAAUCAACCAUUCACGAAUGGACUUACAGCAGCGACGAGGUCUGCGGUGGCGAGCCUGGACCGGACCCCAGAGCGGCAGCCAACAAGGAACCGGUCCUCCUUGGAGUGGAGCGCCGCAACCUGGUCGACGAAGUCCGGGUUGCGCUCCUUGCCAUGGGGUGUGACGGAGAGGUAGUAGGGCACGUUGCGUGCACCGGCGACAUGGCCCUUUUCGAAGUCCUCCCACAUCCGCACGUCCACGUACCCGUACUGCUCCGAGGCCAGCAGCCCACACGCCGCCUCCGCGUCCACGCUCUCCACCGCCGCGCUCGUGCUGCUUCGCAGGGAGCCCAUCUAUGGAGGAUCGAGCAGCGGGGAAGAAGGGGCCUCUGCUUCUGUGUGAGGUGGUCUCCAGAGGCUGUGGAGUGGAUUGGCUGAUGGAAAGAUAGGUGCUAUUAUAGGAUAAGAUGAUGCCAUGGCAGCGGUGGAACAUAUCACACCCGGGUAGCCGCAUCCAUCACUUCAUGAUCGCCUAAAGUCGCCUACCAUACAUAAGUUACAUAUAUGGAAAUGUCAACUACAUACGUAGUUGCUGUAUUUGUUUUCUUUGAAAUGACAAGGUGUAUAAGAAUUUCCUUUUGCACCCUAUUUUUUAAAGAUUUUGUGGCAAGUAUUAUACGUGUGGCCUGAAGCGCAUCGUCUUCCAGGCGGCUCGGGGGAGAAAAAACCCUAGCCGCCGCGACUCCUCCCCCUCCCCUCCUAGUCUCGCCGCCGCCGGAGGGGUCUCCCUGGCAAAGGCUGGGCGGCCCUGAGGAAGGUGGCGGCAGGGCAACGAUUCCCUUGUGGUGGCGCAGGCGCGCGAGAGCUCCGCGCGCGGCCGAGGAGUUGCGGACGGCGGCGGCCACCUCCACGGGACGGGCACAUCACGACGAUCCGGUUGGCCUGGCGAUGCGGGCGCACCGUGCAUGGCGGUGGUGUGGCCUACGACCUAUGGCGGUUUGGAUCCGGGGCUCCUGAUCUAGGUCGAGCAUCCAGGUUGGGGCUUUGCCCGGUGGCGCGGCGACGGCCGCUCUGUUGCGUGCUGGACUAUUGGUGGUGGUCGGCCAGGAGGCGGCGGUGGAUCUGGCUUCAGACCUGUACGGCGGCGAGUUUGGAGCGGCAAGACUUCCGGUGAAAACCGAGCCUCGACUACGGUCAUGGCGGAUGAUGGCGGCAUCUUUUGGCGCCGUUACCUUGUCGAAGGCAUCGUCAUAGCAAGUCGCGCACUCCUUUCGGCCUGCUCUGGGGAAAACCCUAGAUUUGUUUUUACGGAUCGGACGAUGGCAACGUCAGGCAUCACACUCCUUGCUGGAAGCACCGUUUUGGAGCAGGUACCGACUUGGGUGGACAGGUGGUAUCUAUCGCAUCAUCGACGACUGGUCUCGGCGGCGUGGCGCAGCGGGGUGUCGCCGACAGAUGUGUGAUGAUGGACGCGCGCAGGGAGGUGGCGCUGUCUGGCGUCGUGGUGGCGUCGACGGCAGCUAGACCGGGCAAGGUAGAUGCAACAGAAUAUCAUUGAAGAUGGAUUGGUGGUUGGUGGCUGUGGCGGCCUCAUAGCCGGCAGGCGUCCUGAUUGAGGAAUGCACCGGACUGGUGGGUGCCCCAUGCUGGGGAACGUUGCAGAAAACAAAAAAAUUCCUACGGUUUCACCAAGAUCCAUCUAUGAGUUCAUCUAGCAACGAGUUACCGGAUUGCAUCUACAUACCUUUGUAGAUUACGCGCGGAAGCGUUCAAAGAACGGGGAUGAGGAAGUCGUACUCGACGUGAUCCAAAUCACCGGAGAUCCUAGCGCCGAACGGACGGCACCUCCGCGUUCAACACACAUACGGUCAGCGUGACGUCUCCUCCUUCUUGAUCCAGCAAGGGGGAAGGAGAGGUUGAUGAAGAUCCAGCAGCACGACGGCAUGGUGGUGGAUGCAGGAGUCACCGCAGCAGGGCUUCGCAGUUCUACUGCGAGAGGGAGAGGUGUAGUAGGGGAGAGGGAGGCGCCAAGAGUCAAGGGUGCGGCUGCCCCUCCCUCCCCCCUUUAUAUAGGCUCCCCUAGGGGGGCGGCCCUAGGACAUGGGAUCUCCUAGGGGGGCGGCGGCCAAGGGGUGGAGUGCCCCCCAAGCCAGGUGGGGCGCCCCCCCACCCUAGGGUUCCCAACCCUAGGCGCAUGGGGUGGGCCGAAGGGGGCGCACCAGCCCACUAUGGGCUGGUUCCCCUCCCCACUUCAGCCCAUGGGGCCCUCCGGGAUGGGUGGCCCCACCCGGUGGACCCCCAGGACCCUUCCGGUGGUCCCGGUACAAUACCGGUGACCCCCGAAACUCUUCCGAUGGCCGAAACUGCACUUCCUAUAUAUAAUUCUUCACCUCCGGACCAUUCCGAAACUCCUCGUGACGUCUGGGAUCUCAUCCGGGACUCCGAACAACUUUCGGGUUACUGCAUAUUCAUAUCUCUACAACCCUAGCGUCACCGAACCUUAAGUGUGUAGACCCUACGGGUUCGGGAGACAUGUAGACAUGACCGAGACGGCUCUCCGGUCAAUAACCAACAGCGGGAUCUGGAUACCCAUGUUGGCUCCCACAUGCUCCUCGAUGAUCUCAUCGGAUGAACCACGAUGUCGAGGAUUCAAGCAACCCCGUAUACAAUUCCCUUUGUCAACCGGUACGUUACUUGCCCGAGAUUCGAUCGUCGGUAUCCCAAUACCUCGUUCAAUCUCGUUACCGGCAAGUCACUUUACUCGUACCAUAAUGCAUGAUCCCGUGACCAGACACUUGGUCACUUUGAGCUCAUUAUGAUGAUGCAUUACCGAGUGGGCCCAGAGAUACCUCUUCGUCAUACGGAGUGACAAAUCCCAGUCUUGAUCCGUGUCAACCCAACAGACACUUUCGGAGAUACCCGUAGUAUACCUUUAUAGUCACCCAGUUACGUUGUGACGUUUGGUACACCCAAAGCACUCCUACGGUAUCCGGGAGUUACACGAUCUCAUGGUCUAUGGAAAAGAUACUUAACAUUGGAAAAACUCUAGCAAACGAACUAUACGAUCUUGUGCUAUGUUUAGGAUUGGGUCUUGUGCUAUGUUUAGGAUGUGAUCUCGUUAUCAAUGACAUCCAAUGUCCAUAGUCAGGAAACCAUGACUAUCUAUUGAUCAACGGGCUAGUCAACUAGAGGCUUACUAGGGACAUGUUGGUGUCUAUGUAUUCACACAUGUAUUACGAUUUCCGGAUAACACAAUUAUAGCAUGAAUAAAAGACAAUUAUCAUGAACAAGGAAAUAUAAUAAUAAUCCUUUUAUUAUUGCCUCUAGGGCAUAUUUCCAACAGUCUCCCACUUGCACUAGAGCCAAUAAUCUAGUUACAUUGUGAUGAAUCGAACACCCAUAGAGUUCUGGUGUUGAUCAUGUUUUGCCCUAGGGAGAGGUUUAGUCAACGGAUCUGCGACAUUCAGGUCCGUAUGUACUUUACAAAUAUCUAUGUCUCCAUCUUGAACAUUUUCACGAAUGGAGUUGAAGCGACGCUUGAUGUGCCUGAUCUUCUUGUGAAACCUGGGCUCCUUGACAAGUGCAAUAGCUCCAGUAUUGUCACAGAAGAGUUUGAUCGGCCCCGAUGCAUUGGGUAUGACUCCUAGGUCGGUGAUGAACUCCUUCACCCAAAUUACUUCAUGUGCUGCCUCCGAGGCCGCCAUGUACUCCGCUUCACAUGUAGAUCCCGCCACGACGCUCUGCUUGCAGCUGCACCAGCUUACUACUCCACCAUUCAACAUAUACACGUAUCCGGUUUGUGACUUAGAGUCAUCCAGAUCUGUGUCGAAGCUAGCAUCGACGUAACCCUUUACGACGAGCUCUUUGUCACCUCCAUAAAUGAGAAACAUGUCCUUAGUCCUUUUCAGGUACUUCAGGAUAUUCUUGACCGCUGUCCAGUGUUCCUUGCCGGGAUUACUUUGGUACCUACCUACCAAAUUUACGGCAAGGUUUACAUCAGGUCUGGUACACAGCAUGGCAUACAUAAUAAACCCUAUGGCUGAGGCAUAGGGGAUGACACUCAUCUCUUCUAUAUCUUCUGCCGUGGUCAGACAUUGAGCUGAGCUCAAUUUCACACCUUGCAACACAGGCAAGAACCCCUUCUUAGACUGAUCCAUAGUGAACUUCUUCAAUAUCUUAUCAAGGUAUGUGCUUUGUGAAAGACCUAUGAGGCGUCUUGAUCUAUCUCUAUAGAUCUUGAUGCCUAAUAUAUAAGCAGCUUCUCCAAGGUCCUUCAUUGAAAAACUCUUAUUCAAGUAGGCCUUAAUGCUGUCCAAAAGUUCUAUAUCAUUUCCCAUCAAAAGUAUGUCAUCUACAUAUAAUAUGAGAAAUGCUACAGAGCUCCCACUCACUUUCUUGUAAACGCAGGCUUCUCCAUAAGUCUGCAUAAACCCAAACGCUUUGAUCAUCUCAUCAAAGCGAAUGUUCCAACUCCGAGAUGCUUGCACCAGCCCAUAAAUCGAGCAUUGGAGCUUGCACACCUUGUCAGCAUUCUUAGGAUCGACAAAACCUUCCGGCUGCAUCAUAUACAAUUCUUCCUUAAGGAAACCAUUAAGGAAUGCCGUUUUGACGUCCAUUUGCCAUAUCUCAUAAUCAUAGAAUGCGGCAAUUGCUAACAUGAUUCGGACGGACUUCAGCUUCGCUACAGGUGAGAAAGUCUCAUCGUAGUCAACCCCUUGAACUUGUCGAUAAUCCUUAGCGACAAGCCGAGCUUUAUAGAUGGUCACUUUUCCAUCCGUGUCUGUCUUCUUAAAGAUCCAUUUAUUUUCUAUGGCUCGCCGCUCAACGGGCAAGUCAGUCAAAGUCCAUACUUCAUUUUCAUACAUGGAUCCUAUCUCGGAUUUCAUGGCUUCCAGCCAUUUGUCGGAAUCUGGGCCCGCCAUCGCUUCUUCAUAGUUUGAAGGUUCACUGUUGUCUAACAACAUGAUUUCCAAGACAGGGUUGCCGUACCACUCUAGUGCGGAACGUGUCCUUCUGGACCUACGAAGUUCAGUAGCAACUUGAUCUGAAGUUUCAUGAUCAUCAUCAUUAACUUCCUCUCUAGUCGGUGCACGCACCUCAGGAACAUUUUCUUGAGUUGCGCCAUUUUCCGGUUCAAGAGGUAAUACUUCAUCAAGUUCUACUUUCCUCCCACUUACUUCUUUCGAGAGAAACUCCUUCUCUAGAAAGGAUCCAUUCUUGGCAACAAAGAUCUUGCCUUCGGAUCUGAGGUAGAAAGUAUACCCAAUAGUUUCUUUAGGGUAUCCUAUGAAGACGCAUUUUUCCGACUUGGGUUCGAGCUUUUCAGGUUGAAGUUUCUUGACAUAAGCAUCGCAUCCCCAAACUUUAGAAACGACAGCUUAGGUUUCUUCUCAAACCAUAAUUCAUACGGUGUCGUCUCAACGGAUUUCGACGGAGCCCUAUUUAAAGUGAAUGCGGCAGUCUCUAAAGUAUAGCCCCAAAAUGAUAGCGGUAAAUCGGUAAGAGACAUCAUAGAUCGCACCAUAUCGAAUAGAGUGCGAUUACGAUGUUCGGACACACCAUUACGCUGAGGUGUUCCAGGCGGCGUCAGUUGUGAAACUAUUCCAUAUUUUUUUAAGUGUGUGCCAAACUCGUGACUCAAGUAUUCUCCUCCACGAUCUGAUCGCAAGAACUUGAUUUUCCUGUCAUGUUGAUUCUCAACCUCACUCUGAAAUUCCUUUAACUUUUCAAAGGUCUCAGACUUGUGUUUCAUUAAAUAGACAUACUCAUAUCUACUCAAGUCAUCAGUGAGGGUGAGAACAUAACGAUACCACCGCGAGCCUCAACACUUAUUGGACCGCACACAUCAGUAUGUAUGAUUUCCAAUAAGUUGGUUGCUCGCUCCAUUGUUCCUGAGAAUAUAGUCUUGGUCAUUUUACCCGUGAGGCAUGGUUCGCACGUGUCAAAUGAUUCGUAAUCAAGAGACUCUAAAAGUCCAUCUGCAUGGAGCUUCUUCAUGCGUUUGACACCUAUGUGACCAAGGCGGCAGUGCCACAAGUAUGUGGGACUAUCAUUAUCAACCUUACAUCUUUUGGUAUUCACACUAUGAAUAUGUGUAGCAUUACGCUCGAGAUUCAUUAAGAAUAAACCAUUCACCAUCGGAGCAUGACCAUAAAACAUAUCUCUCAUAUAAAUAGAACAACCAUUAUUCUCGGAUUUAAAUGAGUAGCCAUCUUGAAUUAAACGAGAUCCUGAUACAAUGUUCAUGCUCAAAGCUGGCACUAAAUAACAAUUAUUGAGGUUUAAAACUAAUCCCGUAGGUAAAUGUAGAGGUAGCAUGCCGACGGCGAUCACAUCGACCUUGGAACCAUUCCCGACGCGCAUCGUCACCUCGUCCUUCGCCAGUCUCCGCUUAUUCCGCAGCUCCUGCUUUGAGUUACAAAUGUGAGCAACCGCACCGGUAUCAAAUACCCAGGAGCUACUACGAGUACUGGUAAGGUACACAUCAAUUACAUGUAUAUCACAUAUACCUUUCGUGAUGCCGGCCUUCUUGUCCGCUAAGUAUUUGGGGCAGUUCCGCUUCCAGUGACCACUUCCCUUGCAAUAAAAACACUCAGUCUCGGGCUUGGGUCCAUUUUUUGGCUUCUUCCCGGCAGCUUGCUUACCGGGCGCGGCAACUCCCUUGCCGUUCUUCUUGAAGUUCUUCUUACCCUUGCCCUUCUUAAACUUAGUGGUUUUAUUCACCAUCAACACUUGAUGUUCCUUUUUGACUUUUACCUCUGCUGAUUUCAGCAUUGCAAAUACUUCAGGAAUGGUCUUUUCCAUCCCCUGCAUAUUGAAGUUCAUCACAAAGCUCUUGUAGCUCGGUGGAAGCGACUGAAGGAUUCUGUCAAUGACCGUGUCAUCCGGGAGAUUAACUCCCAGCUGAGUCAAGCGGUUAUGUAACCCAGACAUAGUGAGUAUGUGCUCACUGACAUAACUGUUUUCCUCCAUCUUACAGCUGAAGAACUUGUCGGAGACUUCAUAUCUCUCGACCCGGGCAUGAGCUUGAAAAACCAUUUUCAGCUCUUCAAACAUCUCAUAUGCUCCGUGUCUCUCAAAACGCUUUUGGAGCCCAGGCUCUAAGCUGUAAAGCAUGCCGCACUGAACGAGGGAGUAAUCAUCGGUACGUGUCUGCCAAGCGUUCAUAACGUCUUGUUCUGCAGGGAGAGCAGGUGCUUCACCUAGCGGUGCUUGUAGGACAUAAUCUUUCUUGGCAGCUAUGAGGAUGAUCCUCAGGUUCCGGACCCAGUCCGUAUAGUUGCUGCCAUCGUCUUUCAGCUUGGUUUUCUCUAGGAACGCGUCAAGUUGAGGACAACGUUGGCCAUUUGAUCUACAAUACAUGUUGUAAAGAUUUUAGACUAAGUUCAUGAUAAUUAAGUUCAUCUAAUCAAAUUAUUCAAUGAACUCCCACUUAGAUAGACAUCCCUCCAGUCAUCUAAGUAUAACAUGAUCCGAGUUAACUAGGCCGUGUCUGAUCAUCACGUGAGACGGACUAGUCAACAUCGGUGAACAUCUUCAUGUUGAUCGUAUCUUCUAUACGACUCAUGCUCGACCUUUCGGUCUUCUGUGUUCCGAGGCUAUGUCUGUACAUGCUAGGCUCAUCAAGUCAACCUAAGUGUUUGCAUGUGUAAAUCUGUCUUACACCCGUUGUAUGUGAACGUUGGAAUCUAUCACACCCGAUCAUCACGUGGUGCUUCGAAACAACGAACUGUCGCAACGGUGCACAGUUAGGGGGGGCACUUUCUUGAAAUUACUAUGAGGGAUCAUCUUAUUUACUACCGUCGUUCUAAGUAAACAAGAUGCAAAAACAUGAUAAACAUCACAUGCAAUCAAAUAAUAAUAGUGACAUGAUAUGGCCAAUAUCACAUAGCUCCUUUGAUCUCCAUCUUGGGGCUCCAUGAUCAUCUUGUCACCGGCAUGACACCAUGAUCUCCAUCAUCAUGAUCACCAUCAUCAUGUCUCCAUGAAGUUGCUCGCCAACUAUUACUUCUACUACUAUGGCUAACACGUUUAGCAAUAAAGUAAAGUAAUUUACAUGGCGUUUCUCAAUGACACGCAGGUCAUACAAAAAUAAAGACAACUCCUAUGGCUACUGCCGGUUGUCAUACUCAUCGACAUGCAAGUCGUGAUUCCUAUUACAAUAGCAUGAACAUCUCAUACAUCACAUAUAUAUCAUUCAUCAUUUAUCACAAUUUUGGCCAUAUCACAUCACAAAACACUUGCUGCAAAAACAAGUUAGACGUCCUCUAAUUGUUGUUGCAAGUUUUACGUGGCUGCAAUAGGGUUCUAGCAAGAACGUUUUCUUACCUACGUGAAAGCCACAACGUGAUUUGUCAACUUCUAUUUACCCUUCAUAAGGACCCUUUUCAUCAAAUCCGCUCCAACUGAAGUGGGAGGGACAGACACCCGCCAGCCACCUUAUGCAACUGGUGCAUGUCAGUCGGUGGAACCGGUCUCACGUAAGCGUACGUGUAAGGUUGGUCCAGGCCGCUUCAUCCCACAAUACCGCUGAAGCAAAAUAAGACUAGUAGCGGCAAGAAAGUUGACAACAUCUACGCCCACGACAAAUUGUGUUCUACUCGUGCAAAAAGAACUAUGCAUAGACCUAGCUCAUGAUGCCACUGUUGGUGAACGUUGCAGAAACCAAAAAAUUUCAUACGGUUUCACCAAGAUCCAUCUAUGAGUUCAUCUAGCAACGAGUGAUCGGAUUGCAUCUACAUACCUUUGUAGAUCACACGCGGAAGCGUUCAAAGAACGGGGAUGAGGAAGUCGUACUCGACGUGAUCCAAAUCACCGAAGAUCCUAGCGCCGAACGGACGGCACCUCCGCGUUCAACACACGUACGGUCAGCGUGACGUCUCCUCCUUCUUGAUCCAGCAAGGGGGAAGGAGAGGUUGAUGAAGAUCCAGCAGCACGACGGUGUGGUGGUGGAUGCAGGAGUCACCGCAGCAGGGCUUCGCCGUUUUACUGCGAGAGGGAGAGGUGUAGUAGGGGAGAGGGAGGCUCCAAGAGUCAAGGGUGUGGCUGCCCCUCCCUCCCCCCUCCUUAUAUAAGCUCCCCUAGGGGGGCGCCGGCCCUAGAAGAUGGGAUCUCCUAGGGGGGCGGCGGCCAAGGGGUGGAGUGCCCCUCAAGCCAGGUGGGGCGCCCCCCCACCCUAGGGUUCCCAACCCUAGGCGCAUGGGGUGGGCCAAAGGGGGCGCACAAGCCCACUAUGGGCUGGUUCCCCUCCCCACUUUAGCCCAUGGGGCCAUCCGGGAUGGGUGGCCCCACCCGGUGGACUCCCGGGACCCUUCCGGUGGUCCCGGUACAAUACCGGUGACCCCUGAAACUCUCCCGAUGGCCGAAACUACACUUCCUAUAUAUAAUUCUUCACCUCCGGACCAUUUCGGAACUCCUCGUGACAUCCGGGAUCUCAUCCGGGACUCCAAACAACUUUCGGGUUACUGGAUAUUCAUAUCUCUACAACCCUAGCGUCACCGAACCUUAAGUAUGUAGACCCUACGGGUUCGGGAGACAUGUAGACAUGACCGAGACGGCUCUCCGGUCAAUAACCAACAGCGGGAUCUGGAUACCCAUGUUGGCUCCCACAUGCUCCUCGAUGAUCUCAUCGGAUGAACCACGAUGUCGAGGAUUCAAGCAACCCCGUAUACAAUUCCCUUUGUCAACCGGUACGUUACUUGCCCGAGAUUCGAUCGUCGGUAUCCCAAUACCUCGUUCAAUCUCGUUACCGGCAAGUCACUUUACUCGUACCAUAAUGCAUGAUCCCGUGACCAGACACUUGGUCACUUUGAGCUCAUUAUGAUGAUGCAUUACCGAGUGGGCCCAGAGAUACCUCUCCGUCAUACAGAGUGACAAAUCCCAGUCUUGAUCCGUGUCAACCCAACAGACACUUUCGGAGAUACCCGUAGUAUACCUUUAUAGUCACCCAGUUACGUUGUGACGUUUGGUACACCCAAAGCACUCCUACGGUAUCCGGGAGUUACACGAUCUCAUGGUCUAAGGAAAAGAUACUUGACAUUGGAAAAACUCUAGCAAACGAACUAUACGAUCUUGUGCUAUGUUUAGGAUUGGGUCUUGUCUAUCACAUCAUUCUCCUAAUGAUGUGAUCUCGUUAUCAAUGACAUCCAAUGUCCAUAGUCAGGAAACCAUGACUAUCUAUUGAUCAACGAGCUAGUCAACUAGAGGCUUACUAGGGACAUGUUGGUGUCUAUGUAUUCACACAUGUAUUACGAUUUCCGGAUAACACAAUUAUAGCAUGAAUAAAAGACAAUUAUCAUGAACAAGGAAAUAUAAUAAUAAUCCUUUUAUUAUUGCCUCUGAGGCAUAUUUCCAACACCCCAUACCCGGCAGGCGUCCUGGUUGGGACCUCGGAGUCUUAGAUGUUAGGUUUGUCUGCGAGGUAUGUGGUAUUAGGCCCAUAAUAUCAGGAUUUCUUCAUCAACUGGUUAGGAGUAGCGACAUGUGUUGCCUAGAUGGUGGAUUUAGUUUUACUGUUGUAUGACUUGGUAAGGUUUUGUGUGAAUAAUUAAUAAAAUGGAUGCAUGUAUCGUUCAAAUGCAGAGGCCGGGUGCUCCUUCUUUUCUAAAAAAAAUGUUCAUGGGUAUUGUUGAUACGAAAAUAUAGCCGGCCAGCCAUGAUCUGGCAGUUGUCUACAGAUGCAAGAAUAUGUAUAUAUGUUUGGUAAAGAAGAGGACAAGUGGUCCUGAUUUCCAUGAUGACGCGGCGACACGCCAGAGCGAUAAUAAAGAAAUGCUCAGAUCAGUUGAAUUAUCUCCUUGUCUAGUGUGCUCCACGUACUCCACUGAUAGGUGAAGCGAAAGAAUCCUCUUGAUGAACAACGACACAACAGUUACUAUCCAUCGGAGGGAGCAAACAAUUCAAUCAUGGAGGGGGUGAAAAGGAUUGCAUCGGUGGGGGUUCCUCUUCCUCCUCCUCCUCCUUGUCCUCUUAUCCUGUACAUGGCCAUUUCAUUUCACCCAUGCCUUGCACAGUUGCACAUACGGCACAUAUUCCCAUUUAUUUCCUUUUUCCAAAAGAAUAGUUUUCAGUGCUUUGGUUGCCAACUUUAUUUCGAGGAAUGUGUAAACAUCCAAUAUGUAUUUUUAUCCAUGGAAUCAAGGGUGUAUAAUACACACACAAAAACACGCAGAGGUCAACAUUUAAUUAAAUGUAUAUGAAUACAUAUUCAUACAUAUGCGGACAACAUUUAUCAAAUCAUGAUUUUUUUUCUUUUUGAAAUACGUGAACACAUUUAGUACUGAAACAUUUGUUUUGUAUGCACGAUAACAUUUCAAAUGCUUCAUGCAUUUUUUAUUCAUAUGAACAUUUCUGCUAGGUAUGUGAACAUUUUCCUUUUUCAUUUCAUUUGUUAAGUUUUUAAUUAUAGUUAGAAUUUUUAUUAACUCAAAUAACUAUUUUCCUAAUACAAUUUUCUUUCCGUUCCCCUCAUAAGCGGAAAAAUANNNNNNNNNNNNNNNNNNNNNNNNNNNNNNNNNNNNNNNNNNNNNNNNNNNNNNNNNNNNNNNNNNNNNNNNNNNNNNNNNNNNNNNNNNNNNNNNNNNNNNNNNNNNNNNNNNNNNNNNNNNNNNNNNNNNNNNNNNNNNNNNNNNNNNNNNNNNNNNNNNNNNNNNNNNNNNNNNNNNNNNNNNNNNNNNNNNNNNNNNNNNNNNNNNNNNNNNNNNNNNNNNNNNNNNNNNNNNNNNNNNNNNNNNNNNNNNNNNNNNNNNNNNNNNNNNNNNNNNNNNNNNNNNNNNNNNNCAUUCUCCUUCCCUGUGUCUACCGCUUCGGUGGCCGGUGGCUGGGAGAGGAAUCCAUGUUCCUCGGCUCUGACUAGUUGUGAUGGCCUGACUUAUUAGGGAUGAGAGACUACUCAUAUAAAUAAGGAAUUCCUUCUUUUCCGGAAGCCCAUUUGGACAUAACUCCAAAGUUAAGCGUGCUCAGCUUGGAGUAGUGUCAGGAUGGGUGACCGACCGGGAAGUUGCUCCCGGAUGCGCACAAGUGAGGACAAAGUGCGCUGGCAUUGAUCUGUGGGGCCAGUCUAGAUCCCGUCAGGAGUAACGACUACCGGCGGGUGUGUCCGGGGCGUUACACUAGUAGCUAAGGUUAGAGUUUUUUUAGUCCUUACAGGAGCGGUGCUCGGACAGAUGGCGGCGCCUUUUCUUUGAGAUGGUCUUCCAUGCUCUUAUCCUUCUCAAACCGUUCGUCUGGACAAAGUAGGUGGAACUCCGACAUGGUUUAAUCAUGUAUCCUGGGGGUAGAGAGGUUAAGGUUCUCGUCAUGCGUGUGCGAUGGCAAGAUCUGGUAAUAGGCGCUUCAGAUCGGUUCAUGGGCUCAAGGGCGAUGACUUUAUCUCCAUUGGCGCUGGUCCUUAAGGGCACGUGCACGAAGACUUCUCUGUUGUCAUCACAAGUUCACGUGGGCUCUAGUAGGGGAGUGACGACAGUGGCACGUCAACGUCUCUAGCGGUGGUAAUGGUCCUUCGCUGGUCUAGGGACCUUGAUGUAAUUUUAUUAUAUUUGGGUUUCUUUGUACUUCCGAACUUUCAUAACAGAUCUAGUUCUUUUCGCUAAAUACAAACCAUCAGUAUCUCUAAUUAAAAAAAUUAAAAAAAUGAGCUGGCGGGUCAGGCUACUUGCCACUGGUUGCCUAAGAGCAAGUACAAUACAGUAACAUGAGCGAGCUAUGAAAGAUGACACGUCAAUUUUAUAUCUAGUUGGAGGAGUGAUGAGAGGAGAGAGAAGAGAAACGGGCUAUAAACUUAUAGCCAGCUGUAGCAUAAGACACAACAAUCUUUGGUAUGACUAACUAUUAUAGGAGUGGGCUAUUAAAUUUUCUAUAAAUGACAUGAGAACUCGAUAUAGCCGGCUCUUGGCUAUUCUUUAACCAUGUUCUAGGAGCUACCCUCUUGUGGCUGGUCCAUAAGUGCUGACUGGUCAUGCCAUGACGAGAGCCUCAUCUUUGCAAUUUCAUUCCUCAUCUCUCUUCCCUCCAUUAUUGCGAAGACCACAGACAAAUACUCCCUUCGUCUUAAAAUAAGUGUAUCAACUUUAUACACUAAAUGUAAUACAAAGUUGUACUACAGUUGAGACAUUUAUAGUGAAAUGGAGGGAGUACCUUUUUGUGUCCGGGCCCUCAGCGACGACAAUGACAGAUAGUCUGGAUCUUGGUAGUGAUGAUGUUGGCACAGGCAACCUCGGCAGCAUUGGCGUCGGUUACUACCUUGAUGAUGUUGGUGACAAUGGCAUUAACGGCGACCUAUGAAAGUUCAGUGGCAUCGCCUUUCUCUGACUCGGUACAACUUGACCUAUGAGCCUAUUUAUACCAAACUUGUAUGCUUACUUAUAGCCCACUUGUAUCAAUUCACAAAUUUAGGUGAAAUGUUGUGGUAUUUCGAGCGUAUGAAGAGGGCCUAAUCACGCAACUGGUAACUCAUUUUGGAUUACUAGUGUUGGACGAAAAUACCCCUUUUGAGGAAAACUUAGGGGUUCUAUCGAAGCACUCCUCUCUAAAAGUUACUGUCUCAAUUUCUGUGUUGUAAAAUGCAUUUCUUCCAAUUUGAUCCGCUGUAUGAAAAAAAGAACUGGUAGAGAAACACUUAGAAUAGUAUAAGCUUGGGCAACCAAAUCGGUAGGUAACCAACUGUGCCUGCCAACAGUUCUUCCCUUCCUUGUCCAUACAUUCUCGAAGAAGACCAAUCAAUACUUAGGGCCAAAUCGAAGUCCAAGAUGCAUAUAUAGUUUUAUAGUACAUACAAAAUGCCUUCUUUUCCUUGGAAAUUCCCUCUAUACAUCAUCAAUAACAGAUUGCCAAUUAACUUGUUCCUGAGAGCCUUAGAAAACAAAGGAAAGUUAUGCCGGCUGUAUUAGUGAAGGCUGGCUGCUGCUGCCAACUGCGGGUAACUGACGCUCUUGAGCAAGGAGAGGUAGCCACCCUCCAGGUUCUUCACCUUCGUGAACCCCUG
This 14453-nucleotide long non-coding RNA is filed under the name Triticum aestivum (bread wheat). RNAcentral describes it as "long non-coding RNA (TAES_LNC009542)". Lineage: Eukaryota; Viridiplantae; Streptophyta; Magnoliopsida; Poales; Poaceae. The record is from RNAcentral.